AGCGAACGCUGGCGGCAGGCCUAACACAUGCAAGUCGAGCGAACCUUUCGGGGUUAGUGGCGGACGGGUGAGUAACACGUGGGAACGUGCCUUUAGGUUCGGAAUAACUCAGGGAAACUUGUGCUAAUACCGAAUGUGCCCUUCGGGGGAAAGAUUUAUCGCAUUUAGAGCGGCCGGCGUCUGAUUAGCUAGUUGGUUGAGGUAAUGGCUCACCAAGGCGACGAUCAGUAGCUGGUCUGAGAGGAUGAUCAGCCACAUUGGGACUGAGACACGGCACAAACUCCUACGGGAGGCAGCAGUGGGGAAUCUUGCGCAAUGGGCGAAAGCCUGACGCAGCCAUGCCGCGUGAAUGAUGAAGGUCUUAGGAUUGUAAAAUUCUUUCACCGGGGACGAUAAUGACGGUACCCGGAGAAGAAGCCCCGGCUAACUUCGUG
This 434-nucleotide ribosomal RNA is filed under the name uncultured bacterium. Its description in RNAcentral is "partial 16S ribosomal RNA". It matches the Rfam family "Bacterial small subunit ribosomal RNA", at positions 29 to 507 of the family's 1533-position model. The record is from RNAcentral.